GGAAGGAUCAUUAAUGAAAUGCAAGGACGCUCUUUUUAGAGGUCCGACCCCAAAUCAUUUUCCUUUACACUGUGCACAUACUACUUUUUUACACCAAUUUUUUAACACAUCAGUCUUAAGAAUGUAAAUCAAGUCUCGAAAGAGCAAUAAAUAAAACAAAACUUUCAGCAACGGAUCUCUUGGCUCUCGCAUCGAUGAAGAACGCAGCGAAAUGCGAUACGUAAUGUGAAUUGCAGAAUUCAGUGAAUCAUCGAAUCUUUGAACGCACCUUGCACUCUUUGGUAUUCCGAAGAGUAUGUCUGUUUGAGUGUCAUGAAACUCUCAACCCCCUCAUUUUGUAAUGAAGUGUAGCGUGGGCUUGGAUUAUGGCUGUCUGUCGGCUUAACCGCCGGCUCAGCUGAAAUAUACGAGCAACCCAGUUUAAAACCCUGACGGCUUGACUCGGCGUAAUAAUUAUUUCGCUGAGGACGUCUAACCUUUAAAUCGUUAGUGGUGCUUCUAAUGCAUUUAUAAUUUAAGCUUUAGACCUCAAAUCAGGCAGGACUACCCGCUGAACUUAAGCAUAUAAGG
Molecule: unclassified non-coding RNA, 570 nt
Filed under: Symmetrospora sp. DMKU-SE44
Lineage: Eukaryota; Fungi; Basidiomycota; Cystobasidiomycetes; Symmetrosporaceae
Also listed under: 1 other name
Description: contains ITS1, 5.8S rRNA and ITS2
Rfam family: 5.8S ribosomal RNA (bases 160-313)
Source: RNAcentral